Molecule: long non-coding RNA, 542 nt
Organism: Polypterus senegalus (gray bichir)
Lineage: Eukaryota; Metazoa; Chordata; Cladistia; Polypteriformes; Polypteridae
Exons: 3
Source: RefSeq, a predicted model, not a curated record
CUCCAGUGACAGCAUGGUCAUGUGAAAAUAGUGGAACGACAGGCAAGUGAGAGGCAGGGGCUCAAGCAGUGGACAUCGAGAUAUCAAAGGGGCUUGUGUCAGCAGUGCUUUUAAAAAGAAAGCAGAUUAUUCAACCGGCAUUGCAGGGUAGGAAAGGAGGCUACCAUGUGUUUUUUUAGCAAGGUAGCAGAGAGCAGGGUCAGAUUUUCGUGCCAGUACCUGUAAGACCGAGCAUAACAUUUCAGUCAUGAAUGAUAGUGCUAAUAAUGCUCGUGAAGUAGAGGCGUGUGAGCGGAGAGUCCACCACGGGUGACUGAAAUCCGAGGAGGCAGAGGAGAGGAGGUGGGGUGUGAUCGGACCGGCAGAAGCAAGCUCAACCAACCCGGAACAGAUGUGAGAGAGGAGCACGUCAGCUGAGAACGAAACGAGAGAACGAGGUGUUCCUACAGUGGGCAGCAAAUGGAGUCACCCCCGGAGGUGCCAAAUGGAAAUGGCGAGGAGAGAGGUGAGUCGAAUUUAUUAGCAAUACAGAAGGCCUGCAG